AGCGAACGCUGGCGGCAGGCCUAACACAUGCAAGUCGAACGAACCUUUCGGGGUUAGUGGCGGACGGGUGAGUAACACGUGGGAACGUGCCUUUAGGUUCGGAAUAACUCAGGGAAACUUGUGCUAAUACCGAAUGUGCCCUUCGGGGGAAAAAUUUAUCGCCUUUAGAGCGGCCCGCGUCUGAUUAGCUAGUUGGUUGAGGUAAUGGCUCACCAAGGCGACGAACAGUAGCUGGUCUGAGAGGAUGAUCAGCCACAUUGGGACUGAGACACGGCCCAAACUCCUACGGGAGGCAGCAGUGGGGAAUCUUGCGCAAUGGGCGAAAGCCUGACGCAGCCAUGCCGCGUGAAUGAUGAAGGUCUUAGGAUUGUAAAAUUCUUUCACCGGGGACGAUAAUGACGGUACCCGGAGAAGAAGCCCCGGCUAACUUCGUG
This 434-nucleotide ribosomal RNA is filed under the name uncultured bacterium. RNAcentral describes it as "partial 16S ribosomal RNA". It matches the Rfam family "Bacterial small subunit ribosomal RNA", at positions 29 to 507 of the family's 1533-position model. The record is from RNAcentral.